UCCAGGUCGAGCAGUUAGGCCGCGAGCGA
This 29-nucleotide non-coding RNA is filed under the name Homo sapiens (human). The record is from RNAcentral. Lineage: Eukaryota; Metazoa; Chordata; Mammalia; Primates; Hominidae.